GAUCAAGUGUCUGAAGGGCAUUUGGUGGAUGCCUUGGCAUUGAGAGGCGAUGAAGGACGUGACAGGCUGCGUUAAGCCUUGGGGAGCUGCCAGUAAGCUUUGAUCCGAGGAUUUCCGAAUGGGGCAACCCACCGCUUCGGCGGUACCGCAUUGUGAAUAUAUAGCUUUGCGGGGCAAACCCAGCGAACUGAAACAUCUCAGUAGCUGGAGGAAAGGACAUCAACCGAGACUCCGUUAGUAGUGGCGAGCGAACGCGGACCAGGCCAGUGGCUUGGAGAAAACAACCAGAACGGUCUGGAAAGGCCGGCCAUAGCGGGUGAUAGCCCCGUAUGGGUAGAGUUUUUUCUAAGUCCUUGAGUAAGGCGGGACACGAGAAAUCCUGUCUGAACGUGGGGGGACCACCCUCCAAGCCUAAGUACUCCUCAAUGACCGAUAGUGAACAAGUACCGUGAGGGAAAGGUGAAAAGCACCCCGAUAAGGGGAGUGAAAUAGACCCUGAAACCGAAUGCCUACAAGCAGUGGGAGCGAGGCUCUUCAAAUCGCUUUGCGAUUUGGCGAGCCUUUUUAUCUCUCGCGCUGGUCGCGCCCGAAGUGGGCGCGAUGAGCUCCGAGGGGGGGGCGGCUUGACCGGCCGGCGGCCUUUGGCCUUGCCUCGAUAACAAGCGUUGUUGUCGUGGAUGAGAGCUGAAUUUGGCCAUGAUACAGCAAGAGCGAUUUUGUUGUGUCGACAGCUGAAUGGAGCCGGGGUGCGGCGCAGUUGCACCAACGCGUGCGAAUUGCACGCCGCGCCUUUGGCGCACCCCCAGUGGAGGCGUUUUGCGUAGCAAAACUGCCGUGAACGAAAAGGGCGACGCAAAUUGUGAAGCAAUUUGAUGAGCCUCGUGACCGCGUACCUUUUGUAUAAUGGGUCAGCGACUUAGUGUUGCAAGCGAGCUUAAGCCGAGAGGCGUAUGCGCAGCGAAAGCGAGUCUUAAUAGGGCGUUUAGUUUGUGGCAUUAGACCCGAAACCGGGUGAUCUAGCCAUGGGCAGGUUGAAGGUGGGGUAACACCUACUGGAGGACCGAACCCACCUAUGUUGAAAAAUGGGGGGAUGACCUGUGGCUAGGGGUGAAAGGCCAAUCAAACCAGGAAAUAGCUGGUUCUCCGCGAAAACUAUUUCGGUAGUGCGUCGCGUAUUGCCGUCGGGGGUAGAGCACUGGAUGGGCUAGGGGGUCCCACAGACUUACCAAACCUAACCAAACUCCGAAUACCGGCGAGCAUCAGCGCGGCAGACAGACAGUGGGUGCUAAGGUCCAUUGUCGAAAGGGAAACAGCCCAGACCGCCAGCUAAGGUCCCUAAAUCGUGGCUAAGUGGGAAAGGAUGUGGGAAGGCCAAGACAACCAGGAGGUUGGCUUAGAAGCAGCCAUCCUUUAAAGAAAGCGUAACAGCUCACUGGUCUAGAUUAAGCCGUCCCGCGCCGAAGAUGUACCGGGGCUCAAGCCAUGCACCGAAGCUGCGGACCGUGCUUGCACGGUGGUAGCGGAGCGUUCCGUAAGCCUGCGAAGGUGUCCCGUGAGGGGCGCUGGAGGUAUCGGAAGUGAAAAUGCUGACAUGAGUAGCGAUAAAGAGGGUGAGAAACCCUCUCG
Molecule: ribosomal RNA, 1626 nt
Filed under: Alphaproteobacteria bacterium
Lineage: Bacteria; Pseudomonadati; Pseudomonadota; Alphaproteobacteria
Description: partial 23S ribosomal RNA
Rfam family: Bacterial large subunit ribosomal RNA
Source: RNAcentral